Molecule: ribosomal RNA, 500 nt
Filed under: uncultured bacterium
Lineage: Bacteria
Description: partial 16S ribosomal RNA
Rfam family: Bacterial small subunit ribosomal RNA
Source: RNAcentral
AUUGAACGCUGGCGGAAUGCUUUACACAUGCAAGUCGAACGGCAGCACGGACUUCGGUCUGGUGGCGAGUGGCGAACGGGUGAGUAAUACAUCGGAACGUGCCCAGUCGUGGGGGAUAACGUAGCGAAAGCUACGCUAAUACCGCAUACGAUCUAAGGAUGAAAGCGGGGGAUCGCAAGACCUCGCGCGAUUGGAGCGGCCGAUGGCAGAUUAGGUAGUUGGUGGGGUAAAGGCCUACCAAGCCGACGAUCUGUAGCUGGUCUGAGAGGACGACCAGUGACACUGGGACUGAGGCACGGCCCGGACUCCUACGGGAGGCAGCAGUGGGGAAGUUUGGACGAGGGGCGCAAGCCGGAUCCAGCCAUUCCGCGUGAAGGAUGAAGGCCCUCGGGUUGGAAACUGCUUUUGUACGGAACGAAAAGGCUCUGGUUAAUACCCGGGGCUCAUGACGGUACCGUAAGAAUAAGCACCGGCUAACUACGUGCCAGCCGCCGCCGUAA